AUCAACAAGUAACAAGGAGGCAAUGUCCAGUAAAGAACUACAAUGAACAACAACAAUUUGCAAGAGAAAACAUUUUCUUUUCACGCACUUUAUGACACAUGUUGUUGUUGUUACAUGUGUGGCAGGAAUAAAGUCAGCGUUCCUACAAUCAUUCGCGUGAGAUCGUCUAACCGCGUAAAAACACAGACACACACACACACACACACACACUACUUGUCAACAGUGUUUUCUUCUCCCAUGUUUGUGCUACAGGCCACAUGACGAACGCAAGCACGGACACCUAGUACUUAUGUUUGUCGGAGUAGUGUCAUUUAUACAUUAAAAUUUACCAUAAGGAGGAUCUGUAAGUAUAACAUCGAUCCAUGGUUUGAUAUAUGAAGUCAUCGCCUUCACUGGGUAUCGUGUCUGAGCCAUCACGUGCACAAAAAAAUGAAUAGAAUGUUUUAACGGAGGAAAACGGUUUUCAAAUCAUCACUUUUGUUUAAAGUUCAAAUAUAUAGGUUGCAUUCCUUUUUUUUUUUUUCUGUGUUGGAAAUACUUAACGCGCAAAGCCAUACCCAUGCAGCUAUGUCUAUUCGAAGAAUUUCGGGUACUGGUUGUCGAGUACUAUCAACACGGUCUGACAUUUUAUUCUACGGUACCUGAGAGAACUGGAACAUUUAGAUUAAAACGGGACACACCCCAACCCUUCAACACUCUUGAAUCAAUAUCCCCUCCAAGAGUCAAUGCACUAAAAAAAUUAUUGAAAUUUUUUUUGCACUUUAAACUUGAUUUUACCCAAAGUGUGAUGCAGCUAAAAGUAAGCUACCCGUGCCACAGAAAGGAUCUAAAACAAUAGUUCCGGGUGUGAUUUUAGCCUAAAAGCAAAAGCAUUUUUGUUCGCUUAGUUACACAUGUUUUUUUUUUCUUCACAAGAAAACUUUCUGACUUGAUUUGCCAUAAGAAAACUUAAUUCAUGAUCUAAUGUAGUUGGUCCCAGAAUGGGCCUGAAGUAUAAAGAAAUAUCCAAUACAAUUAGACCAAUAUGGAGUUUUGGCGUGAAGAAGAAAAUACGAUUUCAAUAGCACCUUGAUUUCAAAGAAUAUUUAGAAAACCAAGGUAAACGAGAAGGUGAUGCUUCAAUCUAUGGAUGAAGUUAUCACUAGUAAGAAAAAAAAAAGUGUUGAUUACAGUUCGUGUAAAGAAGACUUGUUGCAGUGUGGGGCUGUCGCAUACUGCACUGCGCUCCCAUUUCUAAUAUAAGGCAAGAUGCCAGUCAAAAGUACUACAUGUGAGAUUUUGUUUUAAAGCUCAGGUUACCUCGAAUAUAACCAGUUUUGUAUCGGGAUUUUUAAUAUUAGCUUUAAUAUCGGAAGUGAAUAAAAAAGAAAAAUGAGACAUUCGUUGAAUUUUCUCUGUUUCACUCAAACAAUGUCCAAAAGAUUUGAUAAGAAAAGAAAAACUUUUUUUUGGAUUGAUCCAUUCCUGAAUCAUUGACAGAGCUGAAAAAUUAAUGAAUGAAUAUGAAGGAUUUGAAAAAAAAACAUUGCUUUUCAAUUUGUAUACAUGAUAAAAACCUUUAAUUAAAACGGAGCGAUUUAGAAUUUGGGAUGCAAUUUUUGGGACAUCCGACAAAGGAA
Long non-coding RNA from Hylaeus volcanicus, 1619 nucleotides. RefSeq lists it as uncharacterized. Lineage: Eukaryota; Metazoa; Arthropoda; Insecta; Hymenoptera; Colletidae. The record is from RefSeq and is a predicted model, not a curated record. The transcript is spliced from 3 exons.